This 1705-nucleotide ribosomal RNA is filed under the name Massilia phyllostachyos. RNAcentral's name for it is "partial 23S ribosomal RNA". It matches the Rfam family "Bacterial large subunit ribosomal RNA", at positions 1225 to 2925 of the family's 2925-position model. Lineage: Bacteria; Pseudomonadati; Pseudomonadota; Betaproteobacteria; Burkholderiales; Oxalobacteraceae. The record is from RNAcentral.
AUGGUAGGAGAGCGUUCUGUAAGCCUGCGAAGGUGUCUUGUAAAGGAUGCUGGAGGUAUCAGAAGUGCGAAUGCUGACAUGAGUAGCGAUAAUGCGGGUGAAAAGCCCGCACGCCGUAAGCCCAAGGUUUCCUGUUCAACGUUCAUCGGAGCAGGGUGAGUCGGCCCCUAAGGCGAGGCAGAGAUGCGUAGCUGAUGGGAAGCAGGUUAAUAUUCCUGCACCGUCGUAUGAUGCGAUGGGGGGACGGAUCGCGGAAGGUUGUCCAGCUGUUGGAAUAGCUGGUUUUUGACUCAUAGAAGGCGCUUAGGCAAAUCCGGGCGCAGGAUUCAAGGGGUCGAGACGGGUCGCCAUGUGCGACGAAGCAAUCGGAAGUGGUUCCAAGAAAAGCCUCUAAGCUUCAGUCAUACGAGACCGUACCGCAAACCGACACAGGUGGGCGAGAUGAGUAUUCUAAGGCGCUUGAGAGAACUCGGGAGAAGGAACUCGGCAAAUUGGUACCGUAACUUCGGGAUAAGGUACGCCCCGGUAGCUUGACUGCUUUACUGCAGAAGGGUGAAAGGGUUGCAAUAAACUGGUGGCUGCGACUGUUUAAUAAAAACACAGCACUCUGCAAACACGAAAGUGGACGUAUAGGGUGUGACGCCUGCCCGGUGCUGGAAGAUUAAAUGAUGGGGUGCAAGCUCUUGAUUGAAGUCCCAGUAAACGGCGGCCGUAACUAUAACGGUCCUAAGGUAGCGAAAUUCCUUGUCGGGUAAGUUCCGACCUGCACGAAUGGCGUAACGAUGGCCACACUGUCUCCUCCCGAGACUCAGCGAAGUUGAAAUGUUUGUGAUGAUGCAAUCUACCCGCGGCUAGACGGAAAGACCCCAUGAACCUUUACUGUAGCUUUGCAUUGGACUUUGAACCAAUCUGUGUAGGAUAGGUGGGAGGCUUUGAAGCGGGGACGCCAGUUCUCGUGGAGCCAUCCUUGAAAUACCACCCUGGUUCGUUUGAGGUUCUAACCUUGGUCCGUUAUCCGGAUCGGGGACAGUGCAUGGUAGGCAGUUUGACUGGGGCGGUCUCCUCCUAAAGUGUAACGGAGGAGUUCGAAGGUACGCUAGGUACGGUCGGACAUCGUGCUAAUAGUGCAAUGGCAUAAGCGUGCUUAACUGCGAGACCGACAAGUCGAGCAGGUACGAAAGUAGGACAUAGUGAUCCGGUGGUUCUGUAUGGAAGGGCCAUCGCUCAACGGAUAAAAGGUACUCUGGGGAUAACAGGCUGAUUCCUCCCAAGAGUUCAUAUCGACGGGGGAGUUUGGCACCUCGAUGUCGGCUCAUCACAUCCUGGGGCUGUAGCCGGUCCCAAGGGUAUGGCUGUUCGCCAUUUAAAGUGGUACGUGAGCUGGGUUUAAAACGUCGUGAGACAGUUUGGUCCCUAUCUGCCGUGGGCGUUGGAAAUUUGAAGGGGGCUGCUCCUAGUACGAGAGGACCGGAGUGGACGAACCUCUGGUGUACCGGUUGUCACGCCAGUGGCAUUGCCGGGUAGCUAAGUUCGGAAGAGAUAACCGCUGAAAGCAUCUAAGCGGGAAACUUGCCUUGAGAUGAGAUUUCCCGGAGCCUUGAGCUCCUUGAAGGGUCGUUCGAGACCAGGACGUUGAUAGGCUGGGUGUGGAAGUGCAGUAAUGCAUUAAGCUAACCAGUACUAAUUGCCCGUACGGCUUGUCCCU